AAGGGGAGCGCCGGAUCCUGGGCUGUGUCUUUCCACGCCUUGGCCUCCGGGCCCUGCGCGGUUGGAAUCAUACUCCCAGGGCUGUGCAGCCCCCU
RNAcentral lists this microRNA precursor (95 nucleotides) under Canis lupus familiaris (dog). RNAcentral describes it as "mir-8799 microRNA precursor family". It matches the Rfam family "mir-8799 microRNA precursor family". Lineage: Eukaryota; Metazoa; Chordata; Mammalia; Carnivora; Canidae. RNAcentral also lists the same sequence under 1 other name. The record is from Rfam by way of RNAcentral.